This 406-nucleotide ribosomal RNA is filed under the name uncultured bacterium. RNAcentral describes it as "partial 16S ribosomal RNA". It matches the Rfam family "Bacterial small subunit ribosomal RNA", at positions 30 to 526 of the family's 1533-position model. The record is from RNAcentral.
AUUGAACGCUGGCGGCAGGCCUAACACAUGCAAGUCGAACGAGUGGCGGACGGGUGAGUAAUGUCUGGGAAACUGCCAGAUGGAGGGGGAUAACUACUGGAAACGGUAGCUAAUACCGCAUACCAUCGGAUGUGCCCAGAUGGGAUUAGCUAGUAGGGGAGGUAACGGCUCACCUAGGCGACGAUCCCUAGCUGGUCUGAGAGGAUGACCAGCCACACUGGAACUGAGACACGGUCCAGACUCCUACGGGAGGCAGCAGUGGGGAAUAUUGCACAAUGGGCGCAAGCCUGAUGCAGCCAGGCCGCGUGUAUGAAGAAGGCCUUCGGGUUGUAAAGUACUUUCAGUGGGGAGGCGUUACCCUCAGAAGAAGCACCGGCUAACUCCGUGCCAGCAGCCGCGGUAAUUC